Molecule: non-coding RNA, 74 nt
Organism: Podarcis lilfordi (Lilford's wall lizard)
Lineage: Eukaryota; Metazoa; Chordata; Lepidosauria; Squamata; Lacertidae
Source: the annotation of a GenBank genome assembly
GCCUGGAUAGCUCAGCUGGCUAGAGUGUGGAGCUGACAAUGUCAAGGCUGCAGGUUCGACCCCCGUAUGGGACA